AGAGUUUGAUCAUGGCUCAGGAUGAACGCUGGCGGCGUGCUUAACACAUGCAAGUCGAACGGAGUUAAGAUGAAACCUGGUGAUUCUUAACUUAGUGGCGGACGGGUGAGUAACGCGUGGGUAACCUGCCGUAUACAGGGGGAUAACACUUAGAAAUAGGUGCUAAAACCGCAUAAGCGCACAGCUUCGCAUGAAGCAGUGUGAAAAACUCCGGUGGUAUACGAUGGACCCGCGUCUGAUUAGCCAGUUGGCAGGGUAACGGCCUACCAAAGCGACGAUCAGUAGCCGGCCUGAGAGGGUGAACGGCCACAUUGGGACUGAGACACGGCCCAAACUCCUACGGGAGGCAGCAGUGGGGAAUAUUGCACAAUGGGAGAAACCCUGAUGCAGCGACGCCGCGUGAGUGAAGAAGUAUUUCGGUAUGUAAAGCUCUAUCAGCAGGGAAGAAAAUGACGGUACCUGAGAAAGAAGCCCCGGCUAACUACGUGCCAGCAGCCGCGGUAAUACGUAGGGGGCAAGCGUUAUCCGGAUUUACUGGGUGUAAAGGGAGCGUAGACGGUUGUGCAAGUCUGGAGUGAAAUGCGGGGGCUCAACCCCUGAACUGCUUUGGAAACUGUGUAACUGGAGUGCAGGAGAGGUAAGUGGAAUUCCUAGUGUAGCGGUGAAAUGCGUAGAUAUUAGGAGGAACACCAGUGGCGAAGGCGGCUUACUGGACUGUAACUGACGUUGAGGCUCGAAAGCGUGGGGAGCAAACAGGAUUAGAUACCCUGGUAGUCCACGCCGUAAACGAUGAUUACUAG
RNAcentral lists this ribosomal RNA (800 nucleotides) under uncultured bacterium. RNAcentral's name for it is "bacterial SSU rRNA". It matches the Rfam family "Bacterial small subunit ribosomal RNA", at positions 8 to 819 of the family's 1533-position model. The record is from RNAcentral.